CCGAGUAUGAGCGUUAUCGGAUCAUUGGGUUUAAGGGUGCGCAGGCGGGCUUGUAAGUCAGUGGUGAAAUACUGCCGCUUAACGGUAGAACUGCCAUUGAUACUGCAAGUCUUGUAAUAUGGUUGAGGUAGGCGGAAUGUGUCGUGUAGCGGUGAAAUGCAUAGAUAUGACACAGAACGCCGAUUGCGAAGGCAGCUUACUAAGCCAUUAUUGACGCUGAGGCACGAAAGCGUGGGGAGCGGACAGGAUUAGAUACCCUGGUAGUCCACGCCGUAAACGAUGUUCACUCGCUGUCUGCGAUACACAGUAGGCGGCUGAGCGAAAGCAUUAAGUGAACCACCUGGGGAGUACUAUCGCAAGGUUGAAACUCAAAGGAAUUGACGGGGGCCCGCACAAGCGGAGGAACAUGUGGUUUAAUUCGAUGAUACGCGAGGAACCUUACCUGGGCUUAAAUGUAGAUUGCAUAACUUAGAAAUAGGUUUUCCCUUCGGGGCUAUUUACAAGGUGCUGCAUGGUUGUCGUCAGCUCGUGCCGUGAGGUGUCGGGUUAAGUCCCAUAACGAGCGCAACCCUUAUCGUUAGUUGCCAGCGGGUCAAGCCGGGGACUCUAGCGAGACUGCCACCGUAAGGUGAGAGGAAGGUGGGGAUGACGUCAAAUCAGCACGGCCCUUAUGUCCAGGGCUACACACGUGUUACAAUGGUCGGUACAAAGGGCAGCUACUUGGUGACAAGAUGCUGAUCCCUAAAGCCGGUCCCAGUUCGGAUUGGAGUCUGCAACCCGACUCCAUGAAGUUGGAUUCGCUAGUAAUCGGAUAUCAGCCAUGAUACCGGUGAAUACGUUCCCGGGCCUUGUACACACCGCCCGUCAAACCAUGGGAGCUGGGGGUGCCUGAAGUCUGCCACCGUAAGGAGCGGCGUAGGUAAAUAUAAUGGUU
Molecule: ribosomal RNA, 934 nt
Filed under: uncultured bacterium
Lineage: Bacteria
Description: bacterial SSU rRNA
Rfam family: Bacterial small subunit ribosomal RNA
Source: RNAcentral